RNAcentral lists this non-coding RNA (30 nucleotides) under Homo sapiens (human). The record is from RNAcentral. Lineage: Eukaryota; Metazoa; Chordata; Mammalia; Primates; Hominidae.
UAGAUUGACCAAGGGACGGUCAGGGCCUGU